UACCAGCACCCCGAGUGGUCGGGACGAUUAUUGGGCCUAAAGCAUCCGUAGCCGGUUCUGCAAGUCCCCCGUUAAAUCCAGCUGCUCAACAGAUGGGCCGCGGAGGAUACUACAGCGCUAGGAGGCGGGAGAGGCAAGCGGUACUCAGUGGGUAGGGGUAAAAUCCACUGAUCCAUUGAAGACCACCAGUGGCGAAGGCGGCUUGCCAGAACGCGCUCGACGGUGAGGGAUGAAAGCUGGGGGAGCAAACCGG
RNAcentral lists this ribosomal RNA (253 nucleotides) under uncultured bacterium. RNAcentral's name for it is "partial 16S ribosomal RNA". It matches the Rfam family "Archaeal small subunit ribosomal RNA", at positions 474 to 727 of the family's 1478-position model. The record is from RNAcentral.